Molecule: long non-coding RNA, 749 nt
Filed under: Danio rerio (zebrafish)
Lineage: Eukaryota; Metazoa; Chordata; Actinopteri; Cypriniformes; Danionidae
Description: si:ch211-140m22.5 (ENSDARG00000099114.2)
Source: RNAcentral
GUUUUUACACCUUAACAUGUACUUAUGUUUGAUUGCAGUAAUUCAUCCACCUGCAUGAAGUACUCCUCCAGGAGACAGUCGACCCAGGGCUCUGCCACUUCCAUGGGCCGAACCUCAUUAGAUAUGUCGCAACACUUGAUCAGCACCAUCUUCAGCUGCCACAGAUACAGAGACACCGGGUGAUUCUAGAACUGCAGGUACAUUUCACAUCUCCAAGAAGAAAGACACAAACAUGUUUGGAACAAUGGAGGAUGAGUAAAUGGUUUCUGGAAUUUGCAUAUUUUGUACUACAAUGGCGACUUUGGGGCACACCUGACGAAUCUGUUUGAAGGCUUCUGGAUCGAAGCUGGCGAAGAUGUUGCAGUCUGGCUGAGAGAAGAUCUGGAAGGCCACAGCACAGUGAUGGUUCUCCAGAGGAGAGAUGUCAUUGUACCUCACAGCCAGCUCUGUGCGCGCGUUUAUCUGAUAGCUGGACAGAGGAGGGACUGUGUAUGAUCUACAAACACUCAACAGCUGAAACCUAAUGCAAAUACAAAAUGUAUUUGCAUUCGGUAUCCAAGUGGCAGUGGAUGACAUGGAUCACUGACUUGCUAUAAAUACACAUAAGAUAAAUAUGUUACAUUGUCUACAUGGUGUCUCAGUGGUUAGCACUUUUGCCUCAAAGCAAAAAGGUUGCAGGAUCGAGUCCCGGCUGGGCCAGUUGGCAUUUCUGUUUGCACUAUUUGUGAAUUGAAUAAACUAAAUUGGCC